AGAGUUUGAUCAUGGCUCAGGACGAACGCUGGCGGCGUGCCUAAUACAUGCAAGUCGAGCGAAGGAUAGGUUACGAGCCUUCGGGCGAGGGACCUAUUACUUAGCGGCGAACGGGUGAGUAACGCGUGGGCAACCUGCCCCCCAGACUGGGAUAACAGCUCGAAAGGGCUGCUAAUACCGGAUGAGCCUCUGGUGCCGCAUGGUGCUGGAGGGAAAGCGAUUCAGCGCUGGGGGAUGGGCCCGCGUCCCAUUAGCUAGUUGGUGAGGUAACGGCUCACCAAGGCGACGAUGGGUAGCCGGCCUGAGAGGGUGGACGGCCACACUGGGACUGAGACACGGCCCAGACUCCUACGGGAGGCAGCAGUAGGGAAUAUUGCGCAAUGGGGGGAACCCUGACGCAGCGACGCCGCGUGAGCGAAGAAGGCCUUCGGGUCGUAAAGCUCUGUCCUAUGGGAAGAAGGAGACGGUACCAUAGGAGGAAGCCCCGGCUAACUACGUGCCAGCAGCCGCGGUAAU
Molecule: ribosomal RNA, 516 nt
Filed under: uncultured bacterium
Lineage: Bacteria
Description: bacterial SSU rRNA
Rfam family: Bacterial small subunit ribosomal RNA
Source: RNAcentral